This 1007-nucleotide ribosomal RNA is filed under the name Enterobacter hormaechei. Its description in RNAcentral is "bacterial LSU rRNA". It matches the Rfam family "Bacterial large subunit ribosomal RNA", at positions 169 to 1217 of the family's 2925-position model. The record is from RNAcentral. Lineage: Bacteria; Pseudomonadati; Pseudomonadota; Gammaproteobacteria; Enterobacterales; Enterobacteriaceae.
GGUUAACGAGGCGAACCGGGGGAACUGAAACAUCUAAGUACCCCGAGGAAAAGAAAUCAACCGAGAUUCCCCCAGUAGCGGCGAGCGAACGGGGAGCAGCCCGGAGUCUGAAUCAGCUUGUGUGUUAGUGGAACGGUCUGGAAAGUCCGACGGUACAGGGUGAUAGUCCCGUACACGAAAGCACACUUGCUGUGAACUCGAAGAGUAGGGCGGGACACGUGGUAUCCUGUCUGAAUAUGGGGGGACCAUCCUCCAAGGCUAAAUACUCCUGACUGACCGAUAGUGAACCAGUACCGUGAGGGAAAGGCGAAAAGAACCCCGGCGAGGGGAGUGAAAAAGAACCUGAAACCGUGUACGUACAAGCAGUGGGAGCCUCUUUAUGGGGUGACUGCGUACCUUUUGUAUAAUGGGUCAGCGACUUAUAUUCUGUAGCAAGGUUAACCGUAUAGGGGAGCCGAAGGGAAACCGAGUCUUAACUGGGCGUUAAGUUGCAGGGUAUAGACCCGAAACCCGGUGAUCUAGCCAUGGGCAGGUUGAAGGUUGGGUAACACUAACUGGAGGACCGAACCGACUAAUGUUGAAAAAUUAGCGGAUGACCUGUGGCUGGGGGUGAAAGGCCAAUCAAACCGGGAGAUAGCUGGUUCUCCCCGAAAGCUAUUUAGGUAGCGCCUCGUGAACUCAUCUUCGGGGGUAGAGCACUGUUUCGGCUAGGGGGCCAUCCCGGCUUACCAACCCGAUGCAAACUACGAAUACCGAAGAAUGUUAUCACGGGAGACACACGGCGGGUGCUAACGUCCGUCGUGAAGAGGGAAACAACCCAGACCGCCAGCUAAGGUCCCAAAGUCAUGGUUAAGUGGGAAACGAUGUGGGAAGGCACAGACAGCCAGGAUGUUGGCUUAGAAGCAGCCAUCAUUUAAAGAAAGCGUAAUAGCUCACUGGUCGAGUCGGCCUGCGCGGAAGAUGUAACGGGGCUAAACCAUGCACCGAAGCUGCGGCAGCGACGCUUA